AUUGCUUCUCGGCCUUUUGGCUAAGAUCAAGUGUAGGAUCUCCAGCACUAUUACACAGUACUUUUUACAGUACACUCUUA
This 80-nucleotide small nuclear RNA is filed under the name Zalophus californianus (California sea lion). RNAcentral describes it as "U2 spliceosomal RNA (ENSZCAG00015006401.1)". It matches the Rfam family "U2 spliceosomal RNA", at positions 1 to 119 of the family's 192-position model. From Rfam's summary of the family: U2 is a small nuclear RNA (snRNA) component of the spliceosome (involved in pre-mRNA splicing). Complementary binding between U2 snRNA (in an area lying towards the 5' end but 3' to hairpin I) and the branchpoint sequence (BPS) of the intron results the bulging out of an unpaired adenosine, on the BPS, which initiates a nucleophilic attack at the intronic 5' splice site, thus starting the first of two transesterification reactions that mediate splicing. Lineage: Eukaryota; Metazoa; Chordata; Mammalia; Carnivora; Otariidae. The record is from RNAcentral. RNAcentral also lists the same sequence under 1 other name.